UCAGAUGACGCGCCGGCAGGCUUAACACUGCAAGUCGAGCGAGAGAGGUAGCUUGCUACUGAUNUAGCGGCGGACGGUGAGUAAUGCUUAGGAAUCUGCCUNUUAGUGGGGACAACAUCUCGAAAGGGAUGCUAAUACCGCUACGUCUACGGGAGAAAGCAGGGGAUCUUCGGACCUGCGCUAUAGAUGAGCUAAGUCGGAUAGCUAGUUGGUGGGGUAAAGGCCUACCAGGCCGACGAUCUGUAGCGGGUCUGAGAGGAUGAUCCGCCACACUGGGACUGAGACACGGCCCAGACUCCUACGGGAGGCAGCAGUGGGGAAUAUUGGACAAUGGGGGGAACCCUGAUCCAGCCAUGCCGCGUGUGUGAAGAAGGCCUUAUGGUUGUAAAGCACUUUAAGCGAGGAGGAGGCUACUUUAGUUAAUACCUAGAGAUAGUGGACGUUACUCGCAGAAUAAGCACCGGCUAACUCUGUGCCAGCAGCCGCGGUAAUACAGAGGGUGCAAGCGUUAAUCGGAUUUACUGGGCGUAAAGCGCGCGUAGGCGGCUAAUUAAGUCAAAUGUGAAAUCCCCGAGCUUAACUUGGGAAUUGCAUUCGAUACUGGUUAGCUAGAGUGUGGGAGAGGAUGGUAGAAUUCCAGGUGUAGCGGUGAAAUGCGUAGAGAUCUGGAGGAAUACCGAUGGCGAAGGCAGCCAUCUGGCCUAACACUGACGCUGAGGUGCGAAAGCAUGGGGAGCAAACAGGAUUAGAUACCCUGGUAGUCCAUGCCGUAAACGAUGUCUACUAGCCGUUGGGGCCUUUGAGGCUUUAGUGGCGCAGCUAACGCGAUAAGUAGACCGCCUGGGGAGUACGGUCGCAAGACUAAAACUCAAAUGAAUUGACGGGGGCCCGCACAAGCGGUGGAGCAUGUGGUUUAAUUCGAUGCAACGCGAAGAACCUUACCUGGCCUUGACAUAGUAAGAACUUUCCAGAGAUGGAUUGGUGCCUUCGGGAACUU
This 997-nucleotide ribosomal RNA is filed under the name Acinetobacter seifertii. Its description in RNAcentral is "bacterial SSU rRNA". It matches the Rfam family "Bacterial small subunit ribosomal RNA", at positions 24 to 1029 of the family's 1533-position model. The record is from RNAcentral. Lineage: Bacteria; Pseudomonadati; Pseudomonadota; Gammaproteobacteria; Moraxellales; Moraxellaceae.